UGUAGAAAAAUUCUGGGAACGAGAAAUCAGGACUUUCUGAAUGAGGGAAAAGAGCAAAGGAGUGAGAAUUGUGCAGGCAAUAAUGAGAAAACAAGUGUUUUGAGGGGAAGUUUUGGAAAGUAAUGGGAGAGCAGGGAUCUUCAUCAGGAAAUACACAGUGCUGUCAAGGAAAAUACUGCUGCACAGUCCCUGCUCUCAACAACAUCCUCAGUGUCCUUGUGGUGGGGUGUCUUGGAAGGACUGUGCAGAUCAAGCUUCACACUGCCUCUGCCCUCGAGGCUCUCUGUGCUGAGGCAAUGAACGCAGACCUAUACUUCACCCUGGUUUAUCACAGGAAUUUUUCCAGCCCCUGUUCAAACAGCUUCUGCCUGAG
Molecule: long non-coding RNA, 373 nt
Organism: Serinus canaria (Common canary)
Lineage: Eukaryota; Metazoa; Chordata; Aves; Passeriformes; Fringillidae
Source: Ensembl